This is a non-coding RNA of Zootoca vivipara (common lizard), 298 nucleotides long. NCBI's taxonomy places the organism in Eukaryota, Metazoa, Chordata, Lepidosauria, Squamata, Lacertidae. The record is from RefSeq and is a predicted model, not a curated record.
CAGAUGACAUCAUCAUCGAAGACUUAUAGGUAGUGUGGACUUCGGGCUUUCAGCAGGUGACAGAAUGAUGGCAGCAGGACCUCCUUUUCCAUAUUUUCGUGGGGGCAGAAGUGAAGCAGUGGCUGUGGGCCCAGAUCAGGAUAUAUGAUCUGCUCCCUGUGUAACUCCACGUGUCUCGGUCUCGAGCUGAUUGAAGGCAGAGACGGAAUUUCACCGAUUGGUGAAAAGAAGAAAGAGAACUGGAAGAGCAUGGAAUAAAAAUAAAUAUUUUAAUGUAUUUUGAAUAAUUGCACAAUAA